CAUACAUACACACAUACAUACAUACACACACACACACAGUUAGGUCCGCAAAUAUUUGGACAGUGACACUGUUUUCAUCAUUUUGGCUCUGUACGGCACCACAAUGGAUUUAAAAUGAAACAACUAAGAUGCAACUGAACUGCAGACUUUCUGAACAAAAAUAUCAUAUGAAACGUUUAGGAAUCGCAAGCAUUUAUAUACACGGUUCCCUUAUUUCAGGAACUCAAAUGUAACUGGACAGAUUAACAUAAUCAUAACUAAAAUGUUCAUUUUUAAUACUUUGUCGAGAAUCCUUUGCAGGCGACGACUGCUUGAAGUCUGGAACCCAUGGACAUCACCACACGCUGGGUUUCCUCCUUUCUGAUGCUUUGCCAGGCCUUUAAUUCAGCUGUCUUCAUUUGUUAUAUGUUCGUGGUUCUUUCUGCCUUAAGUUUUGCCUGCAGCGAGUGAAAUGCAUGCUCGAUCGGGUUGAGAUCAGGUGACUGACUUGGCCAUUGCAGAGUAUUCCACUUCUUUGCUUUAAAAAAUUCCUGGGUUGCUUUCGCAAUAUGUUUUGGGUCACUGUCCAUCUGUAAAGUGAAGCGCCGUCCAAUUAACUUCACUGAAUUUGGAUGUAUCUGAGCAGACAUUAUAUUCCUACGUGCUUCAGAAUUCAUCCGGCCGCUUCUGUCUUCUGUCACAUCAUCCAUAAACACUAGUGACCCCAGUGCCACUGAAGCCAUGCAUGCCCAUGCCAACACACUUGCUCCACCCUGUUUCACAGAUGAUGUGGUAUGCUUUGGAUCAUGAGCUGAUCAUGAGCUGUUCCAACCCUUUUCCAUACUUUUUUCUUCCCAUCAUUCUGGUACAUGUUGAUCUUAGUUUCAUCUGUCUAAAAAAUGCUUUUCCAGAACUGCCUUUUUUUUUUUUUUUUUAGAUGUUUUUUGGCAAAGUCUAAUCUGGCUUUUCUAUUCUUUAGGCUUAUAAAUGGUUUGCUCUUUGUGGUGAACCCUCUGUAGUUGCUCUCGUGAAGUCUUCUCUUUAUGGUAGACUUGGAUAAUGAUAUGCCUACCUCCUGGAGCGUGUUCUUCACUUGGCUGGAUGUUGCGACGGGGUUUUUCUUCACCAUGGAAAGGAUCCUACGAUCAUCCACCACUGUUGUCUUCCGUGGACGUCCAGGCCUUUUGUGUUGCGGCGCUCACCACCUAAGGAUGGCCCGUUUCACUUGCAUUGAGAGCUCCUUUGACCACAUGCUGAAGGUUCACAGCGACAGCUUCCAAAUGCAAAUGCCACACCUGGAAUCAACUCCAGACCUUUUCACGUACUUAGCUGAUGAAAAAAUAACAAAAGGAAUCGCCCACACCUGUCCAUGAAACAGCUUUUGACUUAACUGUCCGAUUACUUUUGGUCCCUUGAAAAAGAGGGGGCUACAUAUUAGAGCUGUAGUUCCUAAACCUUUCCUCCAAUGUGGAUGUGAAUACAUUUAAAUUAAAGAAGAGAGACUACACUUUAAGCCCAUGUUCAUUAUUUAACUGUUUUGGUAGACAAAUAAAAUAACUAAACUUG
Molecule: long non-coding RNA, 1545 nt
Organism: Ictalurus punctatus (channel catfish)
Lineage: Eukaryota; Metazoa; Chordata; Actinopteri; Siluriformes; Ictaluridae
Exons: 2
Source: RefSeq, a predicted model, not a curated record